UGCGUAGGCGGUUUGAUAAGCGGAGUGUGAAAUCCCCGGGCUUAACCUGGGAACUGCAUUCCGAACUGUCAAGCUAGAGUAUGAUAGAGGGUGGUGGAAUUCCGAGUGUAGCGGUGAAAUGCGUAGAUAUUCGGAGGAACACCAGUGGCGAAGGCGACCACCUGGAUCAAUACUGACGCUGAGGCACGAAAGCGUGGGAGCAAACA
RNAcentral lists this ribosomal RNA (206 nucleotides) under uncultured bacterium. Its description in RNAcentral is "partial 16S ribosomal RNA". It matches the Rfam family "Bacterial small subunit ribosomal RNA", at positions 568 to 774 of the family's 1533-position model. The record is from RNAcentral.